RNAcentral lists this ribosomal RNA (253 nucleotides) under uncultured bacterium. RNAcentral's name for it is "partial 16S ribosomal RNA". It matches the Rfam family "Bacterial small subunit ribosomal RNA", at positions 524 to 776 of the family's 1533-position model. The record is from RNAcentral.
UACGGAGGGUGCAAGCGUUAUCCGGAUUCACUGGGUUUAAAGGGUGCGUAGGCGGGUUGGUAAGUCCGUGGUGAAAUCUCCGAGCUUAACUCGGAAACUGCCGUGGAUACUAUCAAUCUUGAAUGUCGUGGAGGUAAGCGGAAUAUGUCAUGUAGCGGUGAAAUGCUUAGAUAUGACAUAGAACACCAAUUGCGUAGGCAGCUUACUACACGAUUAUUGACGCUGAGGCACGAAAGCGUGGGGAGCAAACAGG